UGGGGAAUAUUGGACAAUGGGCGCAAGCCUGAUCCAGCCAUGCCGCGUGGAUGAUGAAGGCCUUAGGGUUGUAAAGUCCUUUUAACGGAGAAGAUAAUGACGGUACCCGUAGAAUAAGUCCCGGCUAACUUCGUGCCAGCAGCCGCGGUAAUACGAAGGGGGCUAGCGUUGCUCGGAAUCACUGGGCGUAAAGCGCACGUAGGCGGAUCUUUAAGUCGGUGGUGAAAUCCUGGAGCUCAACUCCAGAACUGCCUUCGAUACUGAGGGUCUCGAGUCCGGGAGAGGUGAGUGGAACUGCGAGUGUAGAGGUGAAAUUCGUAGAUAUUCGCAAGAACACCAGUGGCGAAGGCGGCUCACUGGCCCGGUACUGACGCUGAGGUGCGAAAGCGUGGGGAGCAAA
RNAcentral lists this ribosomal RNA (400 nucleotides) under uncultured bacterium. RNAcentral's name for it is "bacterial SSU rRNA". It matches the Rfam family "Bacterial small subunit ribosomal RNA", at positions 355 to 772 of the family's 1533-position model. The record is from RNAcentral.